Molecule: ribosomal RNA, 253 nt
Filed under: uncultured bacterium
Lineage: Bacteria
Description: partial 16S ribosomal RNA
Rfam family: Bacterial small subunit ribosomal RNA
Source: RNAcentral
UACAGAGGGUGCAAGCGUUAAUCGGAGUUACUGGGCGUAAAGGGCGCGUAGGCGGUACUAUGAGUGUGAUGUGAAAGCCCCGGGCUUAACCUGGGAAGGGCAUCGCAAACGAUAGAACUGGAGUAGAUGAGAGGGUGGCGGAAUUUCCGGUGUAGCGGUGAAAUGCGUAGAGAUCGGAAGGAACGUCGAUGGCGAAGGCAGCCACCUGGCAUCAUACUGACGCUGAGGCGCGAAAGCGUGGGGAGCGAACAGG